AUCUAACUGACGAGUCCAAAAUAGGACUAAUCGUGCGUCCUGAAU
This 45-nucleotide non-coding RNA is filed under the name Schistosoma curassoni. The record is from RNAcentral. Lineage: Eukaryota; Metazoa; Platyhelminthes; Trematoda; Strigeidida; Schistosomatidae.